AUGACACAAGGAGUCAUCCUUGUGCACAAGGAGUGGCUUUGUGCCCUCCAGGGGUUGAAGCGCUCACAGUGCUAGAGGACACCAGGAGAGGGCAGCAGAGAGCUGGAGAGACCUUUGGUAGAGGCCCCAGGAAGCAGGCUGAGAGCAAGAACCAGAAGCAGAGACGUUGAAUACCAAAGAGGAAGCUUCUACAAGGGAAUCUGGAAUAUGAAUGACAGCAAAAGGUCAUGCACUGCAGCACAGAAGAAGGCAACCAGGUGAACAGUGAAAAUCUUAAAUUCUUCCACAUGAUAAUAUAAAAAAUAAUAAAAGUUGUUAUGUAUGGAACA
This 329-nucleotide long non-coding RNA is filed under the name Vulpes vulpes (red fox). Its description in RNAcentral is "lncRNA (ENSVVUG00000014474.1)". The record is from RNAcentral. Lineage: Eukaryota; Metazoa; Chordata; Mammalia; Carnivora; Canidae.